CACAUCAAGCCCACGCGAAUCGGCGCCAACAUCAUCGGCGGGCUGCUGUUCGGCGCGGGCUUCGCGCUGAUGGGCUAUUGCCCCGGCACUGCCGCCGCGGCGCUGGGACAGGGAAGCUGGGACGCGCUCUUCGGCAUGGCAGGACUGAUCGCUGGUUCGUGGAUUUUCGCUGAACUCUCGGCACAUCUGAAAAAGACGGUGGAUCAGUGGGGCGAUCUCGGCAAAGUGCUGUUGCCGGAUUUGCUGCACGUGCCACGCGGAGUGUUUGUGGUGAUUUUUGCGGUGUUGCUCGCCGUGGGUUUGUUCGCAUUGGAAAGGGCAUUCCCCCGAUGACCGGCCAGCGAACAUAUCGUUUGUGCGGGAGCGCCUCGCAGCAGGAAGGCGCACGGCCGGCCCUCCUCUCGCCGGGCGGGAUGAUCGUGCGCGAGAAGGAGCCGUUGAAUCUCGAAAUGCCGUUCGGCUCGCUCGAUGGUUCAUCACGCCGGUGGACCGCUUUUUUGUGCGCAACCACUUUUCGAUCCCGCAGAUUGACGUGAAGACGUGGCGGCUAAAAAUCGAAGGCGAGGUCGAGACGCCGUUUGAACUGACCUACGACGAAGUUGAGGGAGAUGAAAUCACACACCAUCCCCGUGACGAUGGAAUGCGCGGGCAAUGGGCGUGCUUUCCUCACGCCCCAAGCCAGCGGUGCGCAAUGGGAGCGCGGCGCGGUCAGCAACGCGGAGUGGACCGGCGUGCCGCUCACCGACGUGCUGCGCCGCGCCGGCCUGAAGAACUCCGUGCGCGAAGUGAUCUUCGAAGGCGCGGACCGGGGCGAGAUCAAGGAACCACCAGGGCCUGCCGGAAAAAUUCAUUACGCGCGAAGCAUGCCGCUGAAGAAGGCGAACGAGGACGUGCUGCUCGCUUUCAAAAUGAACGGUGAAGAACUGACGCCCGCGCAUGGCUCGCCACUCCGUGUGAUCGUGCCCGGCUGGUAUGGCAUGGCCUUGGUAAAAUGGCUGACCCGGAUCAUCGCCAGCGCCGAGCCGUUCCACGGUUAUUACCAAAACCAUUGAUUACGCCUUUUGGGAGCGUGGGCCAAGCGCGCCCAUACUUGUCCCGAUCACCGAGAUGCAGGUGAAGGCCCAGAUCGCUCGGCCCGGUUUUGCAGAUGCGGUGCGCGCCGGGCAAAUGUAUCACGUGAGUGGUGCCGCUUGGACGACAGAGGCUGAGAUUACGAAGGUGGAAAUCAGCGCCGAUUGCGGCGAAACGUGGCGUGACACGCAACUGCUGGGCCAACAGAUCCGCAACGCCUGGCGGCUAUGGAAAUACCGUUGGCAGGUGCCGGCGGAAUCUGGGAAGGCAACGCUUAUGGUCCGGGCGACGGACUCGGAAGGCCGCACCCAGCCGACGGAGCGCGACGACGACCGCCGUAGCUACAUGGUGAACCACCUUCUCCCGAUCGAGGUGGAUGUGCGGUGAUCCAAGUCUUCGACUCAAUCCAAUCCCAACCGAAUCCAAACUAAUCCAACACAAACCGAACUAUGAAAAAGAAUCACGAACUCAGCAAAACAAAGAAUCAGCGAGCAACAACAGCCAUUGGAUCCACGCGAGUAUCCGCUGGCCCGGGAUUCGCGGGGUUCAGCGGGGCGCGAAGAAAUCCGUGCCCAGACGCCGAUGGUUUCCGCUCCGCGCCAAUCCCGUCGUCCUGUGGAACGAAGCAGCCGAAAGCGGGCGCAAAAGCGAUGAGGCGCGCUCGGGUGCUGGUGGUCGGGCGGAGGGAUUUGGAUUUGCCGUGGCACUCACCGCCCUCCUCGUGCUGUUACAACGAUUCACCACCCGCUGACGACAACUAGAACCACGGCCGACAGCCCAUGGACCAAUGGAAACGGAGAAUUAUGAAACCAGAAACCCCAUCCAAACCCAAAGGACUCCCCGGCGCCCAAGUGGCCAAGCCCUUGAACUCGUCAGCUACCAGGGCGGCGCCGUCGUCAGCCGCGAAAUCGUCAAGAAGCCCACCGGCAGUGUGACGAUCUUCGCCUUCGAUGAAGGCCAGGGCCUGAGCGAGCACACAGCCCCGUUCGACGCGCUGGUGCAAGUGGUGGAAGGCGCGGCUAUCAUGAUUUCCGGCCAGCCCCACCAGUUGCAGGGCGGCGAGAUGAUUCUGAUGCCCGCCGGUCAGCCGCACGCGCUCAAGGCGCUCAAGCGGUUCAAGAUGGUACUUACGCUGAUUCGAUCCUGAACCCAACCGGCUCUCGCCCCCCAUGACCCCGGUACCCGCCAUCGCCGCACAGCCCAAGGGCGAAGCCUGGCACAGCCAGUCGGCUGAGAAAGUGCUAGCCCAACACGGCUCCGCAGCGACCGGACUGUCGGCGCAGGAAGCAGCGAAACGCCUCGCGGCUGACGGCCGAACGAAUUGAAGGAAGGGAAGCGCAUCAGCCCUCUCCAGAUUUUCCUCGGCCAGUUCAAGAGUCUUAUCAUCUGGAUUCUCAUCGUGGCGGCGUUGCAGGCAAAGCAGAAUCCCGACAUGUCCAUCAAUUCAUCAAUUGAGCGAUUCAGCAAGCCCAGCGGAGUUGGCCACCCACGCCAAAAUCGUGGAGGCAGGCCGCAAGCCGUUUUCUGUCCUGGCCAUCAACAGCGGUUCGUCGAGCCUUCGAUUCACGCUCUUCAAGACGGGCGAAUCGCUCGCACCGAUUCUGACCGGCAAGUUCGAGCGCAUCGGAUUGCCCGACGCCGGGCUGUUGCUCACGGACGUUCGCGCGAACCAGAGCGACGAGCGCAGGAUUGACGCGCCCAACCACGUUGCCUGCGUUCGGCUUCUGGUGGAGUUGCUGGAGCAAAAAGCCGGCGACAACGCCGUCAGCGCCGUCGGUUAUCGCGUCGUGCAUGGCGGCCCGCGUUAUCGCGAUCCCCAGCGUGUUGAUGAGGCAAUGCUGGAGGAACUGCGGCGAAUCAGUUCCUUUGCCCCGAACCAUCUCCCGUCCGCCAUCGCGUUGAUGGAAGACUUCGUCA
Molecule: unclassified non-coding RNA, 2988 nt
Filed under: uncultured fungus
Lineage: Eukaryota; Fungi
Description: sequence contains 18S rRNA gene, ITS1, 5.8S rRNA gene, ITS2, 28S rRNA gene
Source: RNAcentral